This is an RNA transcript of Drosophila guanche, 2429 nucleotides long. It is a transcript of the gene named tetraspanin-31-A, with no coding region annotated. The record is from RefSeq and is a predicted model, not a curated record. NCBI's taxonomy places the organism in Eukaryota, Metazoa, Arthropoda, Insecta, Diptera, Drosophilidae. The transcript has 5 exons.
AAAAUUGAAAGUGAAAAUUGCGCUGCAAAAUACGAAAAUUUUUUGAAAUUGUUAAAAAACUGAAUUAAAUUCGAUAAAACUCAUUUAAAGCCAGAAUAAGUUGUGCAGCAACAUGUGUGGAGGAUUUACCUGCUCGAAGAAUGCGCUCAUAGCGCUCAACAUUUUAUAUGUGAUGAUUGGUUUCCUGCUGAUUGGCGUGGGGGUCUAUGCGCGGGCCGCCUCCAUUGUCACCAAUCUGCCCAUUGUGGGCGGCAUCCUGGCCUGCGGCGUCAUCCUCAUCUGCAUCUCCAUGCUGGGCCUCGCCGGCGCUGUGAAGCACCAUCAAGUGAUGCUCUUCUUUUACAUGAUCAUCCUGUUUAUGCUCUUCCUCAUUCAGUUCUCCAUUGCCAGCUCUUGCCUGGCCGUCAAUGCCGAGCAGCAGCAGCAGUUUGCCGAGCAGGGAUGGAUGACAGUGCCCCCAGAGUUGCGGCAACAGGUGCAGGAGAGCCUCGACUGCUGCGGCUUCAAUGCCACCAGCAGCAUCAACCUUCCGACCACUCCACUCGCUCCGACAGAUGAACCCUCCUGCGAGCUGGUCAAUCGAAAGUGCUGCGAACAGUCGAACGAUGUGGAUUGCCAUUGCCCGGCCUGUGGUCCCAUGCUGGAGGACAAGAUCGACUAUGCCUUCAAGCUGUGCGGCGGUCUGGGCAUCUUCUUCAGCUUCACCGAGUUUGUGGGCGUCUGGCUAACCGUGCGCUAUCGCAAUCAAAAGGAUCCGCGCGGCUUGCCCAGCGCAUUCCUUUAAAUUGUCCCCUAAAUCAGAAAAGAACAAUUAAUCCCCCAAUAGAAGACAUAGCAACAGGCAAAGUUAUAUAGAUUUAUGUGUGUGUAUCUCUGUCUCUGUGUAUUUCCCUUUCUGCGAAAUGUUGCUAUGGAUGUUGGGGGUAGAAUUCAUGGGUCAUAGACCAAAAGAGAGCUCUUUGGGUCUGCAUACAUCUUAUAUAUUUAUACCAUCUACAGAUACAUAUAUAAAUACAGACAUACAUAUAUACAGAUCUAUAUAUAAACGCAUUACAGCAUAGAUACAUAUGUACGUAAUGUGUGUUAGUACGUAAUUGAUAUACAAUACAACUUUAGACAUAUAUACACUCGUACAGAUAUAGUGUUAUAGACAUAUAGAGGAGGAGAGAGCCAUAUAAAGCAAUCAACAAUCCCCUUCUUCCUUACCCUGCAUUCUAACACUCUUUUAACUAACUGAAAAACCAACUGUCGGGGCUCUUUGACUAAGCCUAAUCGAGCAGAGGCGAGAGGGUCUUGGCCGUUUUCUUGGCGCGUCGCUAUCGCAAUCAACAUGAUCCCUGCUAUCUGCCUGCACGUGCCGUCUUUCCCCACAACUAUCUAUACUGAUUGGCCCAUGAACAUGGUGAAGGAUUGAAUAAUUUUGAUAAAGGAACGAUACAUGGAUGGUGCAUUUUUAGUCAAAGGGACGAAGGCUGAAUAUUCUUAUUUGUACAACACACACACAGGCAAUACGUUUCCUAGCAAGAAUCGAAUACCAGACUCAAACAAGAGAUAACUCGAAAGCAGAGAAGAGAGAGAGAGAGAGUGCUCAACUGCUGCUGCUUCCUGCUGCUGCUGCUAAUUUUUAAAUAAUUUUUAUUGUACAUUUAUAAGUUUGUUUGAAUUGCACAAAAAUGGAGGCGGCAUAUGUGCGCCCCAAAUGGAGAUUAUUUCUAGCUGUAAUGUUUUAUAUUAAAUUAAGUUGUGCUGUUCUUUCACACCUCUGUUAGCUAUUUUAAAAGCCUUUCUUUGCAACUCGCAACAAUCAUGAAUGACUCAACUGCUGUACCACGAGAGAAACUACGACAAGAGAAACAUUUCGGAAACCUGAUCUUCAAGUAGAAUCUAACAACCAAGUCAACAAUUGUAACUAGCAACCUAGUAAGCAACUAAAACUAAAACUAAACUAAACCUAGGCAUAACGUAACACAUCAACCUAUAUACAUACGAAACGUGUUUGCAUAUUCAACAAUACUCUAAAUGUUAGUUGUGUGUUAAUGAUCCAAAAAGAACAAAAACAAAACCAAAACCAAAAAAAACAUAAACAUAAAGUAACCCAACUACAAAAUAUACAUACAUGUCAACAAUUAAACAACUCUCUAAAAGAAAGAUAGAAAACCUCCUACCACACAGCUCUCUUCCACAGUUUACACCCUGUUUUCCGCACUUGCUCGACUUUCUCUGCCACUUUUCUCCAUCUCUCUAUGUCUUAAUUUACAGAACAAACACACAACACACCACACCACGCACACACAACACACAACACAUGGAAAUAGUUUUUCCCUUGUUUCCGCAUUUCCAAUUUCCUUUCGAGCGACAAAUAAACCAUUAGAUAAUAUUCUCUGUAUUCUGUGCUGUGAUUGAAGUAAAUAUGAUCUAUAAAACAACAA